RNAcentral lists this transfer RNA (74 nucleotides) under Olea europaea subsp. europaea. It matches the Rfam family "tRNA". From Rfam's summary of the family: Transfer RNA (tRNA) molecules are approximately 80 nucleotides in length. Their secondary structure includes four short double-helical elements and three loops (D, anti-codon, and T loops). Lineage: Eukaryota; Viridiplantae; Streptophyta; Magnoliopsida; Lamiales; Oleaceae. The record is from Rfam by way of RNAcentral.
UGCGGGGUAGAGCAGUUUGGUAGCUCGCAAGGCUCAUAACCUUGAGGUCACGGGUUCAAAUCUUGUCUCCACAA